GACGAACGCUGGCGGCGUGCCUAAUACAUGCAAGUCGAACGGAAAGGCCCUGCUUUUGUGGGGUGCUCGAGUGGCGAACGGGUGAGUAACACGUGAGUAACCUGCCCUUGACUUUGGGAUAACUACAGGAAACUAGGGCUAAUACCGGAUAGGAGCUCAUGCUGCAUGGCGGGGGUUGAAAAGUUUCGGCGGUUGGGGAAGGACACGCGGCUUAUCAGUUUGUUGGUGGGGUAGUGGCUUACCAAGGCUUUGACGGGGAGCCGGCCUGAGAGGGAGACCGGCCACAUUGGGACUGAGAAACGAGCCGGACUCCUACGUGGGGCAUCAGUGGGGGAUAUUGCACAAUGGGCGGAAGCCUUGAGCAGCAACGCCGCGUGCGGGAUGACUGCCUUCGGGGUGUAACCCGCUUUCGCGUGUAACGAAGCGUGAGUGACGGUAAUUGGUAAGGAAGCACCGGCUAACUACGUG
RNAcentral lists this ribosomal RNA (468 nucleotides) under uncultured bacterium. Its description in RNAcentral is "partial 16S ribosomal RNA". It matches the Rfam family "Bacterial small subunit ribosomal RNA", at positions 28 to 507 of the family's 1533-position model. The record is from RNAcentral.